UGUCCAGCAACUCCUAUCCCUACCUCCUCGUGGUACCGACCGGAAACUAUGAGUAACUUUAGGGAAGAUCGGGUAACCAACCCCGGUGGGAACUUCGGUCGCAGCCUGACAGGGAAGG
Aedes albopictus (Asian tiger mosquito) is the source of this 118-nucleotide non-coding RNA. The record is from Rfam. Lineage: Eukaryota; Metazoa; Arthropoda; Insecta; Diptera; Culicidae.